This 649-nucleotide ribosomal RNA is filed under the name uncultured bacterium. RNAcentral's name for it is "bacterial SSU rRNA". It matches the Rfam family "Bacterial small subunit ribosomal RNA", at positions 8 to 640 of the family's 1533-position model. The record is from RNAcentral.
AGAGUUUGAUCCUGGCUCAAGACGAACGCUGGCGGCGUGCCUAAUACAUGCUAGUCGAGCGGACAGAAGGGAGCUUGCUCCCGGAUGUUAGCGGCGGACGGGUGAGUAACACGUGGGUAACCUGCCUGUAAGACUGGGAUAACUCCGGGAAACCGGAGCUAAUACCGGAUAGUUCCUUGAACCGCAUGGUUCAAGGAUGAAAGACGGUUUCGGCUGUCACUUACAGAUGGACCCGCGGCGCAUUAUCUAGUUGGUGGGGUAAUGGCUCACCAAGGCAACGAUGCGUAGCCGACCUGAGAGGGUGAUCGGCCACACUGGGACUGAGACACGGCCCAGACUCCUACGGGAGGCAGCAUUACGGAAUCUUCCGCAAUGGACGAAAGUCUGACAGAGCAACGCCGCGUGAGUGAUGAAGGUUUUCGGAUCGUAAAGCACUGUUGUUAGGGAAGAACAAGUGUGAGAGUAACUGCUCGCACCUUGACGGGACCUAACCAGAAAGCCACUGCUAACUACCUGCCUGCAGCCGCGGUAAUACGUAGGUGGCAAGCGUUGUCCGGAAUUAUUGGGCGUAAAGGGCUCGCACGCGGUUUCUUAAGUCUGAUGUCCAAAGCCCCGGCUCAACCGGGGAGGGUGCUUGGAAACUGGGAAA